UCUCUGUUCUUCAAAAACGUGGUGGGCAACACCGGGUCUGAAAAUUUACAUGGGGAAUUUGGUUGUUAUGGUCCAAUACUAGAUGUUUAUAUUCUAUUUGAUUUCAACAGUCAACAUCCAAAAGGAUUUGUAUAUGUUCAAUUUGAGGAUGUUUGUAAUGCUGAAAAUGCUUUAUAUAAUUUGAACAGAAAAUGGUGCUGUGGGAGUCCAAUUGAAAUACAGUUCACAGAGGGGAAACAGAACACACCAAAUCAAAUGAAAGCCAAGGAAAGGAGGAAUGCAUACAAUUCUUUCUGAUAGGAUGAUUUUGACCUAUAUAGAUGUUCUUGAAGCCGAAAUUAUGAAAGGAGGAGAUCAAGGAGUGGUUCCUUUUGUUAUAACUAUAGGAGA
RNAcentral lists this long non-coding RNA (390 nucleotides) under Mus musculus (house mouse). RNAcentral describes it as "long non-coding RNA chrX:116896950-116897340". Lineage: Eukaryota; Metazoa; Chordata; Mammalia; Rodentia; Muridae. The record is from RNAcentral.